UAGGAAAUGCAAGGUCCGGAUGGCACC
Molecule: non-coding RNA, 27 nt
Filed under: Mus musculus (house mouse)
Lineage: Eukaryota; Metazoa; Chordata; Mammalia; Rodentia; Muridae
Source: RNAcentral